This 269-nucleotide long non-coding RNA is filed under the name Elaeis guineensis (African oil palm). Its description in RNAcentral is "long non-coding RNA (EGUI_LNC019061)". Lineage: Eukaryota; Viridiplantae; Streptophyta; Magnoliopsida; Arecales; Arecaceae. The record is from RNAcentral.
UAAAUCCUCAGGACAGUCAAUUGCCAACGUAUAUGCCCCCAUUGGCGGGGUCCUCAACACAGUCAGGUUGUCAAUUUCAUAUUGUCUUCCAAUUCAUAUAUUAUUUUCAAAAAUAAUAUAAAUGAUAUUCGAGUCAAACCAAUCAUAUCAUUCUUUAUGAUCAUACAUCAUCAUAAUAAUUUUUCAACAAAUAACUUUAAUCAUAAAUAAUCUCUACAAUUAACUUUCAUCAUAAUCAAUUAUUUCAAUAAUUUCAAUCACAAGCAUGC